GAUGAACGCUGGCGGCGUGCCUAAUACAUGCAAGUCGAGCGAACAGACGAGGAGCUUGCUCCUCUGACGUUAGCGGCGGACGGGUGAGUAACACGUGGAUAACCUACCUAUAAUACUGGGAUAACUUCGGGAAACCGGAGCUAAUACCGGAUAAUAUAUUGAACCGCAUGGUUCAAUAGUGAAAUACGGUUUUGCUGUCACUUAUAGAUGGAUCCGCGCCGCAUUAGCUAGUUGGUAAGGUAACGGCUUACCAAGGCAACGAUGCGUAGCCGACCUGAGAGGGUGAUCGGCCACACUGGAACUGAGACACGGUCCAGACUCCUACGGGAGGCAGCAGUAGGGAAUCUUCCGCAAUGGGCGAAAGCUUGACGGAGCAACGCCGCGUGAGUGAUGAAGGUCUUCGGAUCGUAAAACUCUGUUAUUAGGGAAGAACAAAUGUGUAAGUAACUAUGCACGUCUUGACGGUAACUAAUCAGAAAGCCACGGCUAACUACGUG
This 497-nucleotide ribosomal RNA is filed under the name uncultured bacterium. RNAcentral's name for it is "partial 16S ribosomal RNA". It matches the Rfam family "Bacterial small subunit ribosomal RNA", at positions 28 to 507 of the family's 1533-position model. The record is from RNAcentral.